AAACGACUCUCGGCAACGGAUAUCUCGGCUCUCGCAUCGAUGAAGAACGUAGCGAAAUGCGAUACUUGGUGUGAAUUGCAGAAUCCCGUGAACCAUCGAGUCUUUGAACGCAAGUUGCGCCCGACGCCUUCCGGCCGAGGGCACGCCUGCCUGGGCGUCACGA
Molecule: ribosomal RNA, 163 nt
Filed under: Securidaca ovalifolia
Lineage: Eukaryota; Viridiplantae; Streptophyta; Magnoliopsida; Fabales; Polygalaceae
Description: 5.8S ribosomal RNA
Rfam family: 5.8S ribosomal RNA
About the family: 5.8S ribosomal RNA (5.8S rRNA) is a component of the large subunit of the eukaryotic ribosome.
Source: RNAcentral